AAAAAUCACAAUCAAAAUCAGACCAGAUUCUUCUAAUCACGUUGAUUAGACUUUUUUUACUACAAAAUCGAAUCAGUCUAAAUUUCAUAAUCGAACUCAACAUCAAAAUUUUUCAGGUAAUUACCUCAACUCACGAGUUAGUCGAUGUUCAAGCUUCAAGUUCGAGCUUCCACAGAGGCGACCCCAGCCUUCUUUUUCCACGUCUCGAUCUUAACAAUUCAACCAAUAGAUCUAAUAUAAUAAAUAAGUAAGCGUAAAUCAAAAACCUAAAACAGAAUCGAUGAAAAUUGUAUUGGCUAGAGAGAGAGAGUAGUAGGUUACCUUUGAAACUCAAGAAAAUCACUACUAUUAUCCCUUGUCGCUUCCUCUGUGUCUAUUGGGUCUGAUUAAUUAACCGCAUCUUGCCUAGAAAAACUCUGUCACACCUCAAGAACCAUUU
Molecule: long non-coding RNA, 439 nt
Filed under: Trifolium pratense (red clover)
Lineage: Eukaryota; Viridiplantae; Streptophyta; Magnoliopsida; Fabales; Fabaceae
Description: long non-coding RNA (TPRA_LNC011381)
Source: RNAcentral